CAGAUAUUAGUUUAUUAAAAUUUUAAUUUUGGAGAUUAAAGAUAAGAAUUUUCUUAUAUCUGA
RNAcentral lists this transfer RNA (63 nucleotides) under Longitarsus parvulus. RNAcentral describes it as "tRNA-Pro". The record is from RNAcentral. Lineage: Eukaryota; Metazoa; Arthropoda; Insecta; Coleoptera; Chrysomelidae.